GAAAAAUCGAAAACUGAAUGUCAGAACAUAAUUAAGAAAAAUUGUGCCACGUAGGAUCACCUAUUAAGAAGCUCCGACAAACUGAAAUGCGUCGCAUAGCAAGGCACGCUGACUCGGUGCCACGCGAGAGGCUACGCUGGCGAUUCGCGUGCCUCGCGAUCAGACAUUCCGGAAGGAUUUUCGCGCGCGUGGACGGUACUGAUCUGUUUCUUCCUCAGGCGCACUCGGAUAGUCGCGAUUAAACGUGAUGAACGGCCUAAAUUUGUUCCCUCUUUAAACGCGAUCGGACGGUCGAGAUCAAAUCGCGAUGAAUGGUCCAAAUUCAUUUCCUCUUUAAAUGCGAUCGAACAGUCAAAAUCAAACGCGAUGAGCGACUCAAAUUUAAGUGAGACAUGUAUAAAUAUUUCGCACCACACCAAACUUAAACCCUAGCCGUUAGCCUUCCUUGGAAAAU
This 454-nucleotide long non-coding RNA is filed under the name Carica papaya (papaya). RNAcentral describes it as "long non-coding RNA (CPAP_LNC003054)". The record is from RNAcentral. Lineage: Eukaryota; Viridiplantae; Streptophyta; Magnoliopsida; Brassicales; Caricaceae.